GUUAAGGUCUUAUGCAACGAUGCCCUGUGAACCGUGUCAGGGUAGGAAUACAGCAGCACUAAGUAGGUAGUGUCGUGUGCCAUAAGGUAGCUUUAGCCG
RNAcentral lists this signal recognition particle RNA (99 nucleotides) under Clostridia bacterium. Its description in RNAcentral is "signal recognition particle sRNA small type". It matches the Rfam family "Bacterial small signal recognition particle RNA". Rfam says of the family: The signal recognition particle (SRP) is a universally conserved ribonucleoprotein involved in the co-translational targeting of proteins to membranes. Archaeal SRP consists of a 7S RNA and homologues of the eukaryotic SRP19 and SRP54 proteins. The record is from RNAcentral. Lineage: Bacteria; Bacillati; Bacillota; Clostridia.